Molecule: non-coding RNA, 1670 nt
Organism: Phascolarctos cinereus (koala)
Lineage: Eukaryota; Metazoa; Chordata; Mammalia; Diprotodontia; Phascolarctidae
Source: RefSeq, a predicted model, not a curated record
CUGUGCUAAGUCCCAAAGAUACAAAGAAAGGCAAAAGCCAGUCUCUGCCCUUGAGAAGCUCACAAUCCAAUGAGGUAGGGGGCCAACAUGUGAACAAGUAAGUACAAACAAACUCAAUGUAGAAUGAAUAGGAAAUUAUUAAUGUGAGGGAAGCCAGGGAGGUCAGUCGUGGGAGCAGAGGAGGGAGAGCGUUCCAGGCCCAGAGCCCAGAGAUGGAGGGGAUGGAACACCCAGGAGGCCAGAGUCACUGGAUGGAAGGGGACCAGGGUGGGGGAGUGAGGUCCGGCAAGACUGGAAAGGGAGGAGGGGGCGGGGCAUGAAGGGCAUUGAACGCCAAGGAGACCAUCUUGUAUUUGCUCCUGGAGGCCCUAGGGAGCCACUGGGGUUUAUUGAGUAAGAGAGUGACCUGGUCAUAUUAGCACUUUGGUGGCUGAAUGGAGGAUGGAUGAGUAGGGAGAGCCUUCAGCAGGCCAUUAGGUCAGACAUAAGGUAAAGAGGGCCUGCACCAGGGGUGGGGGGCAGUGUCAGAGGAGAGAAGGGGGGCAUAUUCGAGAGAUGCUACAAAGGUGAGAUGGUCAGGCCUUGGUGAAGGAUUGGAUGGGGGGGGGGUUAGAGAGGAUGAGGAGUCCAGAAUGAUUCCUGGAGUGGGAGCCUGAGGGCCUAUGAGGAUGAGAGCAUGGGGCCAAGGGACACCUCACACAUCCUAGUUGUUGCAAUUCCUUUUCUCCCAUUGUGUCUCUGCUUCAUGAGCAGUUUCUCAGGCCCUUCUAGAGCCAGUCGUGUAUUGCUGUAUGGAGAAUGAUCUUCUCAGGGGGCUGCUAGCCUCAGAGGAGGUGGAACCAAGUGACCUGUGCUUGGGAAAGAAGUCAGACCGCUGCCUUCAUGGACACAGGUGCCGCUCCAGCCUCUUGGGGAAAUGACCCAGAUGCCCUCAGUGAGCUCUCUUCAUUCAUGAAGAUUACACCUCCUGGCAGGCUUUCAUUCUUAGGCUAUUGAGGAGAAAGAGUGAGCCAUGAAGCUUGCUGGGAAAAGACCUCACCAGAUGCCCUGGGCCCUGACCUUCAACCUUAGAUCCACAGGGGACCAAAGAUGUCCCAGGUGAUGUCUUGACUUGUGCAUGAAUUGGAUGGAAGUGAGGCCAGGCUGCAUGACGUCAGCAGCCUCACUCUCUCUUCCUGGGUCACUGGAAGUCCAGUGGCGGGACAAAAAUCAGGACUGGUGAUGGCCCGGGAUUCAGGGGAUGACCUUGGUGUCCUCGACGUCCACCCAAGCUCCAAGCACUCUACGGCGCCUGCUUCGGCUGCCUUCACGGACGUUGGAACAAGUUGUUCUCAUCCACUCAUUCCACCCGAGCAAGACUUCACAUCCAUGGGAUCCUGACCAUCCAGUAUGAUCCCAGCCAUCCUGACUGAACAGCUCUGACAUGGCUCCUCAGCUUGGAACUUGGAGCCCUCCAUAAUCUGGCUCCCAUCUUACUGCUCCCUUGUAGCAGUCCUUGCUUACAAGCUCUUCCUCAAGGUUUGCCUCAGAUGCCACCUCCUAUGAGUAGCAUUCUCUGAGACCUCCCCCCAGAUGUUUGUGCGGCUGCAGUUAAGACCACUUUUGCUCCUUAUCAGCUGUGUGACCUUGGCUCAUUUUACGGAGGAGGAAACUGAGGCAGAGGUGAAGUG